RNAcentral lists this ribosomal RNA (393 nucleotides) under uncultured bacterium. Its description in RNAcentral is "partial 16S ribosomal RNA". It matches the Rfam family "Bacterial small subunit ribosomal RNA", at positions 523 to 918 of the family's 1533-position model. The record is from RNAcentral.
AUACGGAGGAUGCAAGCGUUAUCCGGAUUUAUUGGGUUUAAAGGGUGCGUAGGCGGUUUGCUAAGCGGGAGGUGAAAUGCCGGCGCUCAACGUCGGAAGUGCCUCCCGAACUGGUGGACUGGAAUGACUCUGCCGUGGGAGGAAUGUGUAGUGUAGCGGUGAAAUGCUUAGAGAUUACACAGAACACCGAUUGCGAAGGCAUCUCACGAAGGGUUGAUUGACGCUGAGGCACGAAAGCGUGGGGAUCAAACAGGAUGAGAUACCCUGGUAGUCCACGCAGUAAACGAUGAUGGCUAACCGCUGGUUUUUUCGGAUCAGUGGCCAAGCGAAAGCGAUAAGCCAUCCCCCUUGGGAGUACGGCCGCAAGGUUGAAACUCAAAGGAAUUGGCGGGG